UGGAGAGUAAACUAAAUUAAGUUGUUGGGCUCAUGAUCCAAUCAUAAGGCGAACGCCUUCCUCCUU
Molecule: transfer RNA, 66 nt
Filed under: Teredothyra matocotana
Lineage: Eukaryota; Metazoa; Mollusca; Bivalvia; Myida; Teredinidae
Description: tRNA-Met
Source: RNAcentral